This 329-nucleotide long non-coding RNA is filed under the name Lupinus angustifolius (narrow-leaved blue lupine). RNAcentral describes it as "long non-coding RNA (LANG_LNC001920)". Lineage: Eukaryota; Viridiplantae; Streptophyta; Magnoliopsida; Fabales; Fabaceae. The record is from RNAcentral.
GCUAAAAAAACACUGCCCAAAAAAAAAACUUUGCCAAAAAAAGAGAAGAAAAACACUACCCAGAAAAAGAAAGAGAGAGAUUUGCCAAAAUCCUACUGCGUGAUCUAGUGUGCACUAGAAUAGGAGAAGCUGUGUGCACCCAUCCUCAACACCAUCGGAUCAAUCCUCAUCACGUCGUCAACCAUUGACCAGCCAACAGAACCAACCACGGUUUGACACAUAGGCGAGUUUACCCCUCCACGCGUGGACACGCGCGUACAAGAGUAGAACCCUUGUCCAAGGACUCUGAUUCGGUGUGUUUGUGGCGUAUCAUCGACACUGUGUACCCU